UACAGAGGGUGCAAGCGUUAUUCGGAAUUAUUGGGCGUAAAGAGCACGUAGGUGGCUACGCAAGUCUAAUGUGAAAUCCCUGGACUCAAUCCAGGAAGUGCAUCGGAUACUGCGUGGCUAGAGGAUAGGAGAGGAGACUGGAAUUUACGGUGUAGCGGUGAAAUGCGUAGAUAUCGUAAGGAAGACCAGUGGCGAAGGCGGGUCUCUGGACAGUUCCUGACGCUGAGGCACGAAGGCCAGGGGAGCAAACGGG
Molecule: ribosomal RNA, 253 nt
Filed under: uncultured bacterium
Lineage: Bacteria
Description: partial 16S ribosomal RNA
Rfam family: Bacterial small subunit ribosomal RNA
Source: RNAcentral